UACGUAGGGGGCGAGCGUUGUCCGGAUUUAUUGGGCGUAAAGAGCUCGUAGGCGGUUUGGUAAGUCGGGUGUGAAAUCUCCACGCUCAACGUGGAGGGGCCACUCGAUACUGCCAUGACUCGAGUCCGGUAGAGGAGUGUGGAAUUCCCGGUGUAGCGGUGAAAUGCGCAGAUAUCGGGAGGAACACCGGUGGCGAAGGCGGUUCUCUGGGCAUUACCUGACGCUGAGGAGCGAAAGCGUGGGGAGCGAACAGG
Molecule: ribosomal RNA, 254 nt
Filed under: uncultured bacterium
Lineage: Bacteria
Description: partial 16S ribosomal RNA
Rfam family: Bacterial small subunit ribosomal RNA
Source: RNAcentral